GUGCAAAACUCCACUUCGCACAACAAAAUAGAGGUGCGCUGCGGGACGCUCCGGUUUGCGCAAAAUAGAGUUGCUUUGCGGGACUUCGCUUGGGUUCGUGCAAAACAGAGGUUUGCGGCACAUCGCUCCGGAUCGCGAAAAUCAGAGUUUCUGAAGGAAGAAUUUCUGUUACGGAAGUGCAAAACUCCACUUCGCACAACAAAAUAGAGGUGCUUUGCGGGACUUCGCUCGGGUUUGCGCAAAACAGAGGUUUGCGGCACUUCGCUCCGGAUUGCGAAAAUCAGAGGUUCUUUUCGGCCCUACUCGUAUUUUGCAUUCGCAAAAGUCUCAGUUUCGUAAAUGAGCUGCAUUUCGCUAUUGUUCGAUCUUAUGUAGACUUUUCCCGAUCCUAUAAAUUGUUGUAUGUAAAUCAUGGCACGUUGCUUUGGCACCACCAAUCUGAAUUCCAUCAAUCAACUAAAACUUAGGGUAGUGGGGCGUGGAUGAAGGGGUUUUAGAAGGCGAGCUUAUGCAAGUGAGCUGCUCUUAACAAUUAUGAGGAACCCCAAUGAUGCCUGCCAAUUAUUUGCGCAAAGGUCUACGCUUGAAUUGGCUUAG
Syzygium oleosum is the source of this 597-nucleotide long non-coding RNA. RefSeq lists it as uncharacterized. The transcript has 3 exons. The record is from RefSeq and is a predicted model, not a curated record. Lineage: Eukaryota; Viridiplantae; Streptophyta; Magnoliopsida; Myrtales; Myrtaceae.